This 114-nucleotide transfer RNA is filed under the name Saccharolobus solfataricus. RNAcentral describes it as "tRNA-Cys+2 introns". It matches the Rfam family "tRNA". Rfam says of the family: Transfer RNA (tRNA) molecules are approximately 80 nucleotides in length. Their secondary structure includes four short double-helical elements and three loops (D, anti-codon, and T loops). Further hydrogen bonds mediate the characteristic L-shaped molecular structure. tRNAs have two regions of fundamental functional importance: the anti-codon, which is responsible for specific mRNA codon recognition, and the 3' end, to which the tRNAs corresponding amino acid is attached (by aminoacyl-tRNA synthetases). tRNAs cope with the degeneracy of the genetic code in two manners: having more than one tRNA (with a specific anti-codon) for a particular amino acid; and 'wobble' base-pairing, i.e. permitting non-standard base-pairing at the 3rd anti-codon position. Lineage: Archaea; Thermoproteati; Thermoproteota; Thermoprotei; Sulfolobales; Sulfolobaceae. RNAcentral also lists the same sequence under 2 other names. The record is from RNAcentral.
GCCGGGGUGGCCGAGUGGUCUAAGGCGGCACUACCAGCCCAUCGGUAGCGCUAGGGGCCGCAGUGGUACUAGUUGACACCCGUUAUUUCGCGGGUUCGAAUCCCGCCCCCGGCU